UACGGAGGGGGCUAGCGUUGUUCGGAAUGACUGGGCGUAAAGCGCGCGUAGGCGGAUCGGUAAGUUGGGGGUGAAAUCCCGGGGCUCAACCCUGGAAUUGCCUUCAAAACUCCCGGUCUUGAGUUCGAGAGAGGUGAGUGGAAUUCCGAGUGUAGAGGUGAAAUUCGUAGAUAUUCGGAGGAACACCAGUGGCGAAGGCGGCUCACUGGCUCGAUACUGACGCUGAGGUGCGAAAGCGUGGGGAGCAAACAGG
This 253-nucleotide ribosomal RNA is filed under the name uncultured bacterium. RNAcentral's name for it is "partial 16S ribosomal RNA". It matches the Rfam family "Bacterial small subunit ribosomal RNA", at positions 524 to 776 of the family's 1533-position model. The record is from RNAcentral.